RNAcentral lists this ribosomal RNA (253 nucleotides) under uncultured bacterium. RNAcentral describes it as "partial 16S ribosomal RNA". It matches the Rfam family "Bacterial small subunit ribosomal RNA", at positions 524 to 776 of the family's 1533-position model. The record is from RNAcentral.
UACGUAGGGUCCAAGCGUUAAUCGGAAUUACUGGGCGUAAAGCGUGCGCAGGCGGCUUCGCAAGUCAGACGUGAAAUCCCCGGGCUUAACCUGGGAAUGGCGUUUGAAACUACGGAGCUGGAGUGUGGCAGAAGGAGGUAGAAUUCCACGUGUAGCGGUGAAAUGCGUAGAUAUGUGGAGGAAUACCGAUGGCGAAGGCAGCCUCCUGGGCCAACACUGACGCUCAUGCACGAAAGCGUGGGGAGCAAACAGG